AACGAACGCUGGCGGCAGGCUUAACACAUGCAAGUCGAGCGCAUCCUUCGGGGUGAGCGGCAGACGGGUGAGUAACGCGUGGGAACGUACCCUUUCCUACGGAAUAGCUCCGGGAAACUGGAAUUAAUACCGUAUACGCCCUUAGGGGGUAAGAUUUAUCGGGGAAGGAUCGGCCCGCGUUGGAUUAGCUAGUUGGUGGGGUAAAGGCCUACCAAGGCGACGAUCCAUAGCUGGUCUGAGAGGAUGAUCAGCCACAUUGGGAGUGAGACACGGCCCAAACUCCUACGGGAGGCAGCAGUGGGGAAUAUUGGACAAUGGGCGCAAGCCUGAUCCAGCCAUGCCGCGUGAGUGAUGAAGGCCUUAGGGUUGUAAAGCUCUUUCAGUAGGGAAGAUAAUGACGGUACCUACAGAAGAAGCCCCGGCUAACUUCGUGCCAGCAGCCGCGGUAA
RNAcentral lists this ribosomal RNA (449 nucleotides) under uncultured bacterium. RNAcentral's name for it is "partial 16S ribosomal RNA". It matches the Rfam family "Bacterial small subunit ribosomal RNA", at positions 29 to 523 of the family's 1533-position model. The record is from RNAcentral.